RNAcentral lists this ribosomal RNA (491 nucleotides) under uncultured bacterium. RNAcentral describes it as "partial 16S ribosomal RNA". It matches the Rfam family "Bacterial small subunit ribosomal RNA", at positions 29 to 506 of the family's 1533-position model. The record is from RNAcentral.
AGUGAACGCUGGCGGUAGGCCUAACACAUGCAAGUCGAACGGCAGCACAGUAAGAGCUUGCUCUUACGGGUGGCGAGUGGCGGACGGGUGAGGAAUACAUCGGAAUCUACUUUUUCGUGGGGGAUAACGUAGGGAAACUUACGCUAAUACCGCAUACGACCUACGGGUGAAAGCAGGGGAUCUUCGGACCUUGCGCGAUUGAAUGAGCCGAUGUCGGAUUAGCUAGUUGGCGGGGUAAAGGCCCACCAAGGCGACGAUCCGUAGCUGGUCUGAGAGGAUGAUCAGCCCAACUGGAACUGAGACACGGUCCAGACCCCUACGGGAGGCAGCAGUGGGGAAUUUUGGAAAAUGGGCGCAAGCCUGAUCCAGCCAUACCGCGUGGGUGAAGAAGGCCUUCGGGUUGUAAAGCCCUUUUUUUGGGAAAAAAAAGCAGCAGGUUAAAACCCCCCUGUUCUGACGGUACCCAAAAAAAAAGCACCGGCUAACUUCGU